UACGAAGGGGGCUAGCGUUGUUCGGAAUUACUGGGCGUAAAGCGCGCGUAGGCGGACUUUUAAGUCAGGGGUGAAAUCCCGGGGCUCAACCUCGGAACUGCCUUUGAUACUGGGAGUCUUGAGUAUGGAAGAGGUAAGUGGAAUUGCGAGUGUAGAGGUGAAAUUCGUAGAUAUUCGGAGGAACACCAGUGGCGAAGGCGGCUUACUGGGCCAUUACUGACGCUGAGGUGCGAAAGCGUGGGGAGCAAACAGG
This 253-nucleotide ribosomal RNA is filed under the name uncultured bacterium. RNAcentral describes it as "partial 16S ribosomal RNA". It matches the Rfam family "Bacterial small subunit ribosomal RNA", at positions 524 to 776 of the family's 1533-position model. The record is from RNAcentral.